AUACGGAGGGGGCAAGCGUUGUUCGGAAUCACUGGGCGUAAAGGGCGCGUAGGCGGUUAUGCUAGUCAGGUGUGAAAUCCCCCAGGCUUAACUUGGGAACUGCGCUUGAAACUGCAUAGCUUGAGGCCGGGAGAGGAAAGUGGAAUUCCUGGUGUAGCGGUGAAAUGCGUAGAUAUCAGGAGGAACACCGGUGGCGAAGGCGGCUUUCUGGACCGGUUCUGACGCUGAAGCGCGAAAGCGUGGGGAGC
Molecule: ribosomal RNA, 248 nt
Filed under: uncultured bacterium
Lineage: Bacteria
Description: partial 16S ribosomal RNA
Rfam family: Bacterial small subunit ribosomal RNA
Source: RNAcentral